RNAcentral lists this ribosomal RNA (484 nucleotides) under uncultured bacterium. Its description in RNAcentral is "partial 16S ribosomal RNA". It matches the Rfam family "Bacterial small subunit ribosomal RNA", at positions 30 to 507 of the family's 1533-position model. The record is from RNAcentral.
AUUGAACGCUGGCGGCAGGCCUAACACAUGCAAGUCGAGCGGAUGAAGGGAGCUUGCUCCUGGAUUCAGCGGCGGACGGGUGAGUAAUGCCUAGGAAUCUGCCUGGUAGUGGGGGAUAACGUCCGGAAACGGGCGCUAAUACCGCAUACGUCCUGAGGGAGAAAGUGGGGGAUCUUCGGACCUCACGCUAUCAGAUGAGCCUAGGUCGGAUUAGCUAGUUGGUGGGGUAAAGGCCUACCAAGGCGACGAUCCGUAACUGGUCUGAGAGGAUGAUCAGUCACACUGGAACUGAGACACGGUCCAGACUCCUACGGGAGGCCGCAGUGGGGAAUAUUGGACAAUGGGGGAAAGCCUGAUCCAGCCAUGCCGGGUGUGUGAAGAAGGUCUUCGGAUUGUAAAGCACUUUAAGUUGGGAGGAAGGGCAGUAAGUUAAUACCUUGCUGUUUUGACGUUACCAACAGAAUAAGCACCGGCUAACUUCGUG